CACGUGACGGCCAGCAUGCCCUCCUUCGGGACGAGGUGUGUCAAUGCUCCUAUCAGGAAACUUAACGGAGUUAAGGAGAGAUGACAAAUUAAUGAUUUCAAAAAGUUGGUAUAACAAAUUGCUUAAAAUUUUAGUUUAUAUGACAAAUUAAAAAAGGGAAAUUUUAUUUGGACCCAUAUAACCUCUUUUUACACCCAACUUAAACUUUAAAUAUAUAUUGUCUUUCUUACCCUAUUGCAUAAUUACUGUCAAGUACAAGAUGAAAUGAACAAUAAAACCAAAAUUUAUCAGUAGACCCAUAUAUACCCAAUAAUCAAUCUACUUCUUGCUACCAUCUGGUAAUGUGUCGCGCCUUCAUCGCACUAGCUCGAUGUUACUUCUGAGUUUUUACAUGCUUAUGUUUUUGUUUAUGGAUUCGAAGCAACCAAGGAUUCUUCAAACUUCAGAUCACAUAAAUGAAAAGCUGAUCCAACGGACCAUGUGAAACUUUUGGAUUUUGUACUAAAUAUUGGAGGGAUUGGCUGAUCCAAUUUUGAUCAGUUGCAAGAAAACGCAUACUGAUUGAACAAAAACAAAAUAAAAACAUAUGGGAUUUAAAUAUUUAUUUUUUUUAAUCAUCUAUAUGGGAUUAAGCAAAAUCAACAGAUGAAAGAUUAAUUAAAACAGAUAUGGGAUUGAGUAAAAUCAACAAAAAAGAAGGAUUACGCAUGAGACAAAUAUGUGAGAGAUAUUGCUGUCUUUAUGCCUUGAAUGAAUUUCAAAACACUGAUUUUGGUUUUUUAUUUUUUAAAUGGGUGCAAAGAUAAAUUUAUAUAUCAAAUUGUGUUUGUGAGGGUAGUUUAGGUAGUAAGUUUGGGUUUAAAGAGAUAUUAAUAGUUUAGUUAAAAAUAAUAUGGGUGUGGAGAGUAAGUUGAGUGUAAAAAGAGGUUGUAUGGGUUGAAAUAAAAUUUCUCAUUGAAAAAUGCAUACAAGUUCAUAUGACAUUUCAAAAACUUUUUCCUACCUAAAUCUAUAGACAUAUGAAUCCAAAUGUACCAAUAUAAAUAGAUUGUAACAAAAAUUUAUCACAAACUUACCUUACCGUAUUAGUACAUUUGAAUCCAAACGUAUCAAUAUAAAUGGAGAAAUGAGGCACAUCUAGUUGUCUCUAAAUUGAGAUGUAAAAAAUAUGAAUUAACAAAAAAAAAAAUACAAAUUAAAAACAGAUAAAAGUUCAAAAACAAGAAAUGACUAACGUCAAUCAUGUUAAUUAUUAAUAAAAAGAUAACUAAGCUUGAAAGUUUGUUUUGAUCUUCCCUAAAAUUAAGGCAAUUUAAUUUGGACAUUUCUUUAGGUGUGAGUUUAGUCGCAUGUUUUGGUUUGGUUCAACGCUACAUCUUGAUUCCCUUGCAAUUGUGGCAAGCGACUUUCGGGAGUGCUGGAAAAUGUAUGUCUAAGGGUUUGUGAAUUCAUGGCCCACAUUCAUCUCAUGCUCAAAUUUCGGCCACAUUUGCUCCUAGUUCAGCCGUGCAACAGCUUCAUUUUCAAGCCCAGGUAACAUCUUUUUUUUUUAAUUUUAUUUUAUUUUUAUUUUGGGGUAGAACAAGCAAUUCAUAGAUUCAGCAAGGCACAAGGCCAAGAAGCAAACAAAAGGGUGCCCAGCACACCCAGAAACAAGAUCAAAGAUAAAUAGGAUACAACAUACGCCACCACACAGGCCCCCAACAUCAUCCCAUAUAUCCAAGACAAAACUCCCCCACCUAUGAAGGACAUGGCAGGCCAUUUUUGUUCAAAAUACCCACAAGCGAAGUGGAGGUGUCACCACCCAGCCUAAGCCAACCAUCUCCGAAGACAAGUUUCUCGCGACAAAAUCCGCC
RNAcentral lists this long non-coding RNA (1856 nucleotides) under Malus domestica (apple). Its description in RNAcentral is "long non-coding RNA (MDOM_LNC000708)". The record is from RNAcentral. Lineage: Eukaryota; Viridiplantae; Streptophyta; Magnoliopsida; Rosales; Rosaceae.